AGUGAACGCUGGCGGUGGGCCUAAUACAUGCAAGUCGAACGGACAGACAGUAAGAGUGUGCCUUUACGGGUGGCGAGUGGCGGAUGGGUGAGGAAUAGAUCGGAAACUACUUUUUCGUGGGGGAUAACGGAGGGACAGAUACACUACUAGCGCAUACAAUCAACGGGUGAAAUCAGUGGAUCUUCGGACCUUUCGUGAUUCAAUUAGCCGAUGUCGGGUUAGAUAGUUGGCGGGGUAAAGGCCCACCAAGGCGACGAUCCGUAGCCGACCUGAGAGGAUGAUCGGCCACACUGGAACUGAGACACGGUCCAGACUCCUACGGGAGGCAGCAGUAGGGAAUAUUGGACAAUGGGCGCAAGCCUGAUCCAGCCAUGCCGCGUGAGUGAAGAAGGCCUUCGGGUUGUAAAGCCCUUUUAUUAGGAAAGAAAAACAGCAGGAUUAUCCCUCGCUGUUCUGACGGUACCCAAAGAAUAAGCAACGGCUAACUUCGUG
This 492-nucleotide ribosomal RNA is filed under the name uncultured bacterium. RNAcentral's name for it is "partial 16S ribosomal RNA". It matches the Rfam family "Bacterial small subunit ribosomal RNA", at positions 29 to 507 of the family's 1533-position model. The record is from RNAcentral.